UAAUUUGAGAGUUUGAUCCUGGCUCAGGACGAACGCUGGCGGCGUGCCUAAUACAUGCAAGUCGAACGAACUCUGGUAUUGAUUGGUGCUUGCAUCAUGAUUUACAUUUGAGUGAGUGGCGAACUGGUGAGUAACACGUGGGAAACCUGCCCAGAAGCGGGGGAUAACACCUGGAAACAGAUGCUAAUACCGCAUAACAACUUGGACCGCAUGGUCCGAGUUUGAAAGAUGGCUUCGGCUAUCACUUUUGGAUGGUCCCGCGGCGUAUUAGCUAGAUGGUGGGGUAACGGCUCACCAUGGCAAUGAUACGUAGCCGACCUGAGAGGGUAAUCGGCCACAUUGGGACUGAGACACGGCCCAAACUCCUACGGGAGGCAGCAGUAGGGAAUCUUCCACAAUGGACGAAAGUCUGAUGGAGCAACGCCGCGUGAGUGAAGAAGGGUUUCGGCUCGUAAAACUCUGUUGUUAAAGAAGAACAUAUCUGAGAGUAACUGUUCAGGUAUUGACGGUAUUUAACCAGAAAGCCACGGCUAACUACGUGCCAGCAGCCGCGG
RNAcentral lists this ribosomal RNA (554 nucleotides) under Lactiplantibacillus plantarum. Its description in RNAcentral is "bacterial SSU rRNA". It matches the Rfam family "Bacterial small subunit ribosomal RNA", at positions 1 to 520 of the family's 1533-position model. The record is from RNAcentral. Lineage: Bacteria; Bacillati; Bacillota; Bacilli; Lactobacillales; Lactobacillaceae.